Molecule: ribosomal RNA, 254 nt
Filed under: uncultured bacterium
Lineage: Bacteria
Description: partial 16S ribosomal RNA
Rfam family: Bacterial small subunit ribosomal RNA
Source: RNAcentral
UACGUAGGGGGCAAGCGUUGUCCGGAUUUAUUGGGCGUAAAGAGCUCGUAGGCGGCUUGGCAAGUCGGGUGUGAAAACUCCAGGCUCAACCUGGAGACGCCACCCGAUACUGCCAUGGCUAGAGUCCGGUAGGGGACCACGGAAUUCCUGGUGUAGCGGUGAAAUGCGUAGAGAUCGGGAAGAACAUCGGUGGCGAAAGCGCUCUACUGGGCCAUAACUGACACUCAGGGACGAAAGCUAGGGGAGCGAAUGGG